AUCCCUGUGGCGCAGCGGAUAGCGCACUGGACUUGUAAUCCAGAGGCCGUGCGUUCGAAUUGCACCAGGGAUA
This is a non-coding RNA of Octopus sinensis (East Asian common octopus), 73 nucleotides long. The record is from the annotation of a RefSeq genome assembly. NCBI's taxonomy places the organism in Eukaryota, Metazoa, Mollusca, Cephalopoda, Octopoda, Octopodidae.